Molecule: ribosomal RNA, 875 nt
Filed under: uncultured euryarchaeote
Lineage: Archaea; Methanobacteriati; Methanobacteriota
Description: bacterial SSU rRNA
Rfam family: Archaeal small subunit ribosomal RNA
Source: RNAcentral
GGCCACUGCUAUCGGAGUCCGACUAAGCCAUGCGAGUCGAUCGGGUAAGACCCGAGGCAGACGGCUCAGUAACACGUGGCUAACCUACCCUCGGGUGGAGGAUAACCUCGGGAAACUGAGGAUAAUCCUCCAUAGAUCUAGGAUGCUGGAAUGCACCUAGAUCGAAAGCUCCGGCGCCCGAGGAUGGGGCUGCGGCCUAUCAGGUUGUAGUGGGGGUAACGGCCCCACUAGCCUACGACGGGUACGGGCUGUGAGAGCAGGAGCCCGGAGAUGGACCCUGAGACAAGGGUCCAGGCCCUACGGGGCGCAGCAGGCGCGAAACCUCCGCAAUGCACGCAAGUGCGACGGGGGGACUCCGAGUGCCUACGCUUUGCGUAGGCUUUUCCUGAGCCUAAAAAGCUCAGGGAAUAAGGGCUGGGCAAGACGGGUGCCAGCCGCCGCGGUAAUACCCGCAGCUCAAGUGGUGGCCGCUUUUAUUGAGCCUAAAGCGUCCGUAGCCGGACCCGUAAAUCCCUGGGUAAAUCCUGGCGCUCAACGUCAGGAAUUCCGGGGAGACUGCGGGUCUUGGGACCGGGAGAGGCUGGAGGUACUCCCGGGGUAGCGGUGAAAUGCUGUAAUCCUGGGGGGACCACCUGUGGCGAAAGCGUCCAGCUUGAACGGCUCCGACGGUGAGGGACGAAGGCCAGGGGAGCGAACCGGAUUAGAUACCCGGGUAGUCCUGGCUGUAAACGCUGCCCGCUUGGUGUUGCCGGUCUUUCGGGGGCCGGCAGUGCCGGAGCGAAGGUGUUAAGCGGGCCGCUUGGGAAGUACGGCCGCAAGGCUGAAACUUAAAGGAAUUGGCGGGAGAGCACUGCAACGGGAGGAGCGUGCGGUUU